This 322-nucleotide ribosomal RNA is filed under the name uncultured eukaryote. RNAcentral's name for it is "partial 18S ribosomal RNA". It matches the Rfam family "Eukaryotic small subunit ribosomal RNA", at positions 1470 to 1796 of the family's 1831-position model. The record is from RNAcentral.
CCCUUAGAUGUUCUGGGCCGCACGCGUGCUACACUGAGUGGAUCAGCGGGUCAGGUUGCGCGAAAGCGUUUCCUAAUCUUUAAAUCCGCUCGUGAUGGGGAUUGACGGUUGCAAUUUUCUGUCAUGAACGAGGAAUACCUUGUAAGCGCGGGUCAUCAUCCCGCGCUGAAUACGUCCCUGCCCUUUGUACACACCGCCCGUCGCUCCUACCGAUUGAGUGGUCCGGUGAGGCUUUGGGAUCUGAGCGGAAAGAGCGUUUAGCUGUUUCUGCUCGGAAAACUCAGUCGAACCUUAUCAUUUAGAGGAAGGAGAAGUCGUAACA